CGGACGGGUGAGUAAUGUCUGGGAAACUGCCUGAUGGAGGGGGAUAACUACUGGAAACGGUAGCUAAUACCGCAUAACGUCGCAAGACCAAAGAGGGGGACCUUGGGCCUCUUGCCAUCGGAUGUGCCCAGAUGGGAUUAGCUAGUAGGUGGGGUAAUGGCUCACCUAGGCGACGAUCCCUAGCUGGUCUGAGAGGAUGACCAGCCACACUGGAACUGAGACACGGUCCAG
Molecule: ribosomal RNA, 231 nt
Filed under: uncultured bacterium
Lineage: Bacteria
Description: partial 16S ribosomal RNA
Rfam family: Bacterial small subunit ribosomal RNA
Source: RNAcentral